GUGAACGCUGGCGGUAGGCCUAACCCAUGCAAGUCGAACGGCAGCACCGUAAGAGCUUGCUCUUACGGGUGGCGAGUGGCGGACGGGUGAGGAAUACAUCGGAAUCUACUUUUUCGUGGGGGAUAACGUAGGGAAACUUACGCUAAUACCGCAUACGACCUACGGGUGAAAGCAGGGGAUCUUCGGACCUUGCGCGAUUGAAUGAGCCGAUGUCGGAUUAGCUAGUUGGCGGGGUAAAGGCCCACCAAGGCGACGAUCCGUAGCUGGUCUGAGAGGAUGAUCAGCCACACUGGAACUGAGACACGGUCCAGACUCCUACGGGAGGCAGCAGUGGGGAAUAUUGGACAAUGGGCGCAAGCCUGAUCCAGCCAUACCGCGUGGGUGAAGAAGGCCUUCGGGUUGUAAAGCCCUUUUGUUGGGAAAGAAAAGCAGCAGGUUAAUACCCCGCUGUUCUGACGGUACCAAAAGAAUAAGCACCGGCUAACUUCGUG
RNAcentral lists this ribosomal RNA (491 nucleotides) under uncultured bacterium. RNAcentral's name for it is "partial 16S ribosomal RNA". It matches the Rfam family "Bacterial small subunit ribosomal RNA", at positions 29 to 507 of the family's 1533-position model. The record is from RNAcentral.